GCUUUGUGUUUCAAGUGUCUGUGAACACCAACAUGCCGCAGUGUCGUGAAACCCCCCUAUCCCGUCCAGGCCUUCCACACAGGACCCCUCAAAGUCAUAGAUCUGCCAGAUCAGCUCCUGCUGGAUGCACAGGUGCUGUGUUAAGAAAUCCUGCCCAACAAAAUUCCACUGAGGCAGAUGUAGAGAUGACUGUGAGAAACUG
Long non-coding RNA from Xyrauchen texanus (razorback sucker), 202 nucleotides. RefSeq lists it as uncharacterized. The record is from RefSeq and is a predicted model, not a curated record. The transcript has 3 exons. NCBI's taxonomy places the organism in Eukaryota, Metazoa, Chordata, Actinopteri, Cypriniformes, Catostomidae.